AUAUUCUUUACAUUUCAAUUUAUUUUAAAAUUUUAAAAAUUAUUUAAAUGUUAUUAAAAUUUUUUAAUAAUUAUUUUUUUUUAAGUCUGUAAAGGAUUAAAUUAAAUUAUUUUAAAGUAAAUUUAAUUAUUGUACCUUUUGUAUCAGGGUUAAUUAAUUUUCAUAAUUUAUUUUUUUUUCCCGAAAAUUUAAGAUUUUAAUUUAUUUGAUUUUUAUUAUUUCAAAAAUUUUAAUAAAAUAAAUUAAGUUUUGAUAAAAAAAUCGUUUAAUUAGUUAUCUGGUUGUUUUGGAAAUAAAUUUAAUUUAGGAUUUAUAAUUAUUAAUUUUUUUUUUUAAAAAAUUUUUUAAAUCUAAUUUAAUUUAGGAUAAUCUAAUUUAUUUACUAUAAUUUUUUUUGUAAAAGAUUAGGUAGGAUUAAAAUUUUUUUUCUUUAAAAGUUUGUUUUAAAUUAGUCUUUGGUUAAUUUAUAAUUUAGUUUUAUACAAUUUUUUUUAAUUAAAUUAUUUUUUUUGAUUAAUAAUGAUUAAAUUAGUAAAUUUAAUUUUUUAAUUUAUGAAUUCGGCAAAAAUUUUUCUGACUGUUUAACAAAAACAUUUCCUUUAGUUUUUUUUUAAGGUAAAUCCUGCUCAAUGAUAAUUUAAAUAGCUGCAGUAAUUUAACUGUACAAAGGUAGCAUAGUAAUUAGUCUUUUAAUUGAGGUCUAGAAUGAAUGGUUCAACAAGAAAAUAACUUUAUUAAUUUAAUAAAAUUUUAAUUUAAUUUUUUAGUUAAAAAGCUAAAAUUUUUAAGUGGGACGAUAAGACCCUAUAGAUCUUUAAUUUUUUAAAUUAUUUUUUUUUUAGAUAAAUAAAAUUUAUAAUAUUAAGAAAUUUUGGUUGGGGUGACAUUAAAAUUUUAAAAACUUUUUUUUAUAUCUACAUUUGUUUAUGGAAUUCAUGAUCUUAAAUUUUUGAUUAAAAGAAAAAGAUACCUUAGGGAUAACAGCGUAAUAAAUUUGGAUAGUUCAUAUUAAUAAAUUUUGUUUACGACCUCGAUGUUGAAUUAAUUUAAAAAUUUGAAGCAGAAAUUAAAUAUUUGGGUCUGUUCGACCUUUAAUUAGUUACAUGAUUUGAGUUCAAACCGGCGUAAGCCAGGUUGGUUUCUAUCUACUUUUUAUUUAUAUUUAUUUAGUACGAAAGGACUUUUAAAUUAGAAAUAUUUUCU
This 1203-nucleotide ribosomal RNA is filed under the name Bambusiphaga taibaishana. RNAcentral's name for it is "16S ribosomal RNA". Lineage: Eukaryota; Metazoa; Arthropoda; Insecta; Hemiptera; Delphacidae. The record is from RNAcentral.